AGAACUUAGCAGAGAUGCUUUGGUGCCUUCGGGAACUCGUGAGACAGGUGCUGCAUGGCUGUCGUCAGCUCGUGUUGUGAAAUGUUGGGUUAAGUCCCGCAACGAGCGCAACCCUUAUCCUUUGUUGCCAGCGGUUAGGCCGGGAACUCAAAGGAGACUGCCAGUGAUAAACUGGAGGAAGGUGGGGAUGACCGUCAAGUCAUCAUGGCCCUUACGAGUAGGGCUACACACGUGCUACAAUGGCGCAUACAAAGAGAAGCGACCUCGCGAGAGCAAGCGGACCUCAUAAAGUGCGUCGUAGUCCGGAUUGGAGUCUGCAACUCGACUCCAUGAAGUCGGAAUCGCUAGUAAUCGUGGAUCAGAAUGCCACGGUGAAUACGUUCCCGGGCCUUGUACACACCGCCCGUCACACCAUGGGAGUGGGUUGCAAAAGAAGUAGGUAGCUUAACCUUCGGGAGGGCGCUUACCACUUUGUGAUUCAUGACUGGGGUGAAGUCGUAACAAGGUAAGCGUAGUGCU
RNAcentral lists this ribosomal RNA (519 nucleotides) under uncultured bacterium. Its description in RNAcentral is "bacterial SSU rRNA". It matches the Rfam family "Bacterial small subunit ribosomal RNA", at positions 992 to 1509 of the family's 1533-position model. The record is from RNAcentral.